This 84-nucleotide transfer RNA is filed under the name Actinocrinis puniceicyclus. RNAcentral describes it as "tRNA-Tyr". It matches the Rfam family "tRNA". From Rfam's summary of the family: Transfer RNA (tRNA) molecules are approximately 80 nucleotides in length. Their secondary structure includes four short double-helical elements and three loops (D, anti-codon, and T loops). Lineage: Bacteria; Bacillati; Actinomycetota; Actinomycetes; Catenulisporales; Actinospicaceae. RNAcentral also lists the same sequence under 2 other names. The record is from RNAcentral.
GGCAGGUUGCCCGAGCGGCCAAUGGGAGCGGACUGUAAAUCCGUCGCGAAAGCUACCCAGGUUCGAAUCCUGGACCUGCCACCA